UCCCUCCUCUUCUCUCUCCUUCAGGUUGCUGGUCUCCUGUGGUUGGUGGUCUCCAGUCAUUAGAGGAGCUGUGGAUUGACAUGAAUAGUUUGAUAUCCCUCCCUGAGGAGAUGAGUGGGUUGAAGAAGUGUUCCUUCAUUGAAGCAUCAGACAAUAGACUAAUGGACCUACCACACUCCAUUGGACUACUAUCAUCACUGACCGACCUCUACCUCCAGAAUAACCUUCUCACCCAACUACCUGUGUCCUUUAGUUAUUUAAAGAGUUUAAAGGUGUGUAAUGUCUCCAGUAACAGGUUAAUGUUCCUCCCUGAGUCAAUAGGAGGGUAUGUUGUACCACUAGUGUACUGUACUAAUAUGGUACUGUACUGAUUAUAACUUGUAAUGUGUGUGUGUGCCUGUGAAUCCCUAUAUCAGUGGUAUUAUAUGUACUGUGGGCAAUAGUUAGUUUAUUAAU
Molecule: long non-coding RNA, 456 nt
Organism: Amphimedon queenslandica
Lineage: Eukaryota; Metazoa; Porifera; Demospongiae; Haplosclerida; Niphatidae
Exons: 3
Source: RefSeq, a predicted model, not a curated record